This 396-nucleotide ribosomal RNA is filed under the name uncultured bacterium. Its description in RNAcentral is "partial 16S ribosomal RNA". It matches the Rfam family "Bacterial small subunit ribosomal RNA", at positions 523 to 918 of the family's 1533-position model. The record is from RNAcentral.
AUACGUAGGUGACAAGCGUUAUCCGGAUUUACUGGGCGUAAAGGGCGUGUAGGCGGUCUUGCAAGUCAGAAGUGAAAUUCCUGAGCUCAACUCGGGCGCUGCUUCUGAAACUGCAGGACUUGAGUGCUGGAGGGGAUAGCGGAAUUCCUAGUGGAGCGGUAAAAUGCGCAGAUAUUAGGAGGAACACCAGUGGCGAAGGCGGCCUGCUGGACGACAACUGACGCUGAGGCGCGAAAGCGUGGGGAGCAAACAGGAUUAGAUACCCUGGUAGUCCACGCUGUAAACGAUGAAUACUAGGUGUGGGGGGACUGACCCCCUCCGUGCCGCAGUUAACACAAUAAGUAUUCCACCUGGGGAGUACGAUCGCAAGAUUGAAACUCAAAGGAAUGGACGGGG